UACGAAGGGGGCUAGCGUUUUUCGGAAUCACUGGGCGUAAAGCGCACGUAGGCGGACCUUCAAGUCAGGGGUGAAAUCCCGGGGCUCAACCUCGGGACUGCCUUUGAUACUGUUAGUCUUGAGCCCGGAAGAGGUGGGUGGAAUUCCCAGUGUAGAGGUGAAAUUCGUAGAUAUUAGAAAGAACACCUGUGGCGAAGGCGGCGCCCUGGUCCGUGACUGACGCUGAGGCGCGAAAGCGUGGGGAGCAAACAGG
RNAcentral lists this ribosomal RNA (253 nucleotides) under uncultured bacterium. RNAcentral's name for it is "partial 16S ribosomal RNA". It matches the Rfam family "Bacterial small subunit ribosomal RNA", at positions 524 to 776 of the family's 1533-position model. The record is from RNAcentral.